RNAcentral lists this ribosomal RNA (864 nucleotides) under Pseudomonas sp. 34(2013b). RNAcentral describes it as "bacterial SSU rRNA". It matches the Rfam family "Bacterial small subunit ribosomal RNA", at positions 70 to 931 of the family's 1533-position model. Lineage: Bacteria; Pseudomonadati; Pseudomonadota; Gammaproteobacteria; Pseudomonadales; Pseudomonadaceae. The record is from RNAcentral.
UGAAGGGAGCUUGCUCCUGGAUUCAGCGGCGGACGGGUGAGUAAUGCCUAGGAAUCUGCCUGGUAGUGGGGGAUAACGUCCGGAAACGGGCGCUAAUACCGCAUACGUCCUGAGGGAGAAAGUGGGGGAUCUUCGGACCUCACGCUAUCAGAUGAGCCUAGGUCGGAUUAGCUAGUUGGUGGGGUAAAGGCCUACCAAGGCGACGAUCCGUAACUGGUCUGAGAGGAUGAUCAGUCACACUGGAACUGAGACACGGUCCAGACUCCUACGGGAGGCAGCAGUGGGGAAUAUUGGACAAUGGGCGAAAGCCUGAUCCAGCCAUGCCGCGUGUGUGAAGAAGGUCUUCGGAUUGUAAAGCACUUUAAGUUGGGAGGAAGGGCAGUAAGUUAAUACCUUGCUGUUUUGACGUUACCAACAGAAUAAGCACCGGCUAACUUCGUGCCAGCAGCCGCGGUAAUACGAAGGGUGCAAGCGUUAAUCGGAAUUACUGGGCGUAAAGCGCGCGUAGGUGGUUCAGCAAGUUGGAUGUGAAAUCCCCGGGCUCAACCUGGGAACUGCAUCCAAAACUACUGAGCUAGAGUACGGUAGAGGGUGGUGGAAUUUCCUGUGUAGCGGUGAAAUGCGUAGAUAUAGGAAGGAACACCAGUGGCGAAGGCGACCACCUGGACUGAUACUGACACUGAGGUGCGAAAGCGUGGGGAGCAAACAGGAUUAGAUACCCUGGUAGUCCACGCCGUAAACGAUGUCGACUAGCCGUUGGGAUCCUUGAGAUCUUAGUGGCGCAGCUAACGCGAUAAGUCGACCGCCUGGGGAGUACGGCCGCAAGGUUAAAAUCAAAUGAAUUGACGGGGGCCCGCACAAGCG